CAUGUAUCAACACAUCUCUGUCCUGACCUCAACCCCUCCUUCACCUAAUCCACAGAUGUCCAUCUCUCCCCUGUAUCAACACAUCUCUGUCCUCACCUCCUGACCUCAACCCCUCCUUCACCUAAUCCACAGAUGUCCAUCUGUCUCCCCAUGUAUCAACACAUCUCUGUCCUCACCUCCUGACCUCAACCCUCCUUCACCUAAUCCACAGAUGUCCAUCUGUCUCCCCAUGUAUCAACACAUCUCUGUCCUCACCUCCUGACCUCAACCCCUCCUUCACCUAAUCCACAGAUGUCCAUCUGUCUCCCCUGUAUCAACACAUCUCUGUCCUCACCUCCUGACCUCAACCCCUCCUUCACCUAAUCCACAGAUGUCCAUCUGUCUCCCCUGUAUCAACACAUCUCUGUCCUCACCUCCUGACCUCAACCCCUCCUUCACCUAAUCCACAGAUGUCCAUCUGUCUCCCCAUGUAUCAACACAUCUCUGUCCUCACCUCCUGACCUCAACCCCUCCUUCACCUAAUCCACAGAUGUCCAUCUGUCUCCCCAUGUAUCAACACAUCUCUGUCCUCACCUCCUGACCUCAACCCCUCCUUCACCUAAUCCACAGAUGUCCAUCUGUCUCCCCAUGUAUCAACGCAUUGCUGUCCUCUCCUCCAUCAAACACAUUCCAAAGCCUUCUGUCUUUCUUCAGAGAUCCAUUCUAACAGAACACCCAGUCUCUUUCAUUUCCUAUCAUUCAUUUACUAUCUCAAUGUUUAGCACAUUCAUUCUUCCCAUGACAGACUGACCAGGUGAAUCCAGGAUCCCUUAUUGAUGUCACCUUAAAUUCACUUCAAUCAGUGUAGAUGAAGGGGAGGAGACGGGUUAAAUAAUGAUUCUUUGCCAUUCAGAGGGUGAAUGGGCAAGAAAAGAUUGAAAUCAAAUUUGAUUAGUCACAAUGCAGUAAAAAAUAAUGAAUAAGAACUAAAAUUAACAAAUAAUUAAAGAGCAGCAGUAAUAAUAAUCAUAGCGAGACUAUAUGCAGGGGGUACCGGCUAGUAAUGAGACUAUAUGCAGGGGGCACCGGUUAGUAAUGAGACUAUAUGCAGGGGGCACCGGUUAGUAAUGAGACUAUAUACAGGGGGUACCGGUACAGAGUCAAUGUGCGGGGUCACCGGUGUCAUACCUCUGCACCAUCUCUCUGUCUCCUACACCCAGGAUGCUGUGGUCAGAGAGGUCGUAAAUUCCUGGAGGAGAAUAUCUCCUCAUGGCCAGAGUAUUUAGAGAAAGUGAGUUUUCAUAUAGAGAGAGAAGGAGGAUAUACACCCAAAAGGGUCACGUUGUGGCAAUACAGACAGGUGGUUAGUAAAGUAACCUGGAGUAAAGUGAGCCGGUACUCCAGAGGUGAAGAGAGGGCAGGGUGAAAGAAGAGGCCUAAAGUGCAGGUAGGAGCCGUCUAGAAGAGGCCUAAAGGGCAGGAAGGAGCCGUCUAGAAGAGGCCUAAAGGACAGGAAGGAGCCGUCUAGAAGAGGCCUAAAGGGCAGGAAGGAGCAGACUAGAAGAGGGUUGGUCAGUGUCCUCCUAGUCCUCACUGGCUCCGUGGUCAGUAAGGAUCCUUCCUCUGGCUCAGGAGGGGUCGACUAGCUCAACAGGUAGCACUACGGAUCACCUCCAUCCACCUGGAGACAGACAGACAGGUUAGAGACAGACAGGUAGCACUACGGAUCACCUCCAUCCACCUGGAGACAGACAGACAGGUUAGAGACAGACAGGUAGCACUACGGAUCACCUCCAUCCACCUGGAGGAAGACACAGGUAGCACUACCAAACACCACACUACUGAAAACAACAAGAC
Oncorhynchus tshawytscha (Chinook salmon) is the source of this 1836-nucleotide long non-coding RNA. NCBI's taxonomy places the organism in Eukaryota, Metazoa, Chordata, Actinopteri, Salmoniformes, Salmonidae. The record is from Ensembl.